GACGAACGCUGGCGGCGUGCUUAACACAUGCAAGUCGAACGGAAAGGCCCCUUUGGGGGUACUCGAGUGGCGCACGGGUGCGUAACACGUGAGUAACCUGCCCUUGACUUCGGGAUAACUUCAGGAAACUGGGGCUAAUACCGGAUAGGAAUCCUUGCUGCAUGGUGGGGGUUGGAAAGCUUCGGCGGUUUUGGAUGGACUCGCGGCUUAUCAGCUUGUUGGUGGGGUAGUGGCUUACCAAGGCUUUGACGGGUAGCCGGCCUGAGAGGGCGACCGGCCACAUUGGGACUGAGAUACGGCCCAGACGCCUACGGGAGGCAGCAGUGGGGAAUAUUGCACAAUGGGCGGAAGCCUGAUGCAGCAACGCCGCGGGCGGGAUGACGGCCUUCGGGUUGUAAACCGCUUUCAGCAGGGGCGAAGCUUGUGGUGACGGUACCUGCAGAAGAAGCACCGGCUAACUACGUG
Molecule: ribosomal RNA, 465 nt
Filed under: uncultured bacterium
Lineage: Bacteria
Description: partial 16S ribosomal RNA
Rfam family: Bacterial small subunit ribosomal RNA
Source: RNAcentral